GCGAGAGUGGCGGAAUCGGCAGACGCGCGGGCCUUAGGAGCCCGUGGGGGUGACCCCGUGGGGGUUCGAGUCCCCCCUUUCGCA
Molecule: transfer RNA, 84 nt
Filed under: Gemmatimonadota bacterium
Lineage: Bacteria; Pseudomonadati; Gemmatimonadota
Also listed under: 1 other name
Description: tRNA-Leu
Rfam family: tRNA
About the family: Transfer RNA (tRNA) molecules are approximately 80 nucleotides in length. Their secondary structure includes four short double-helical elements and three loops (D, anti-codon, and T loops). Further hydrogen bonds mediate the characteristic L-shaped molecular structure. tRNAs have two regions of fundamental functional importance: the anti-codon, which is responsible for specific mRNA codon recognition, and the 3' end, to which the tRNAs corresponding amino acid is attached (by aminoacyl-tRNA synthetases). tRNAs cope with the degeneracy of the genetic code in two manners: having more than one tRNA (with a specific anti-codon) for a particular amino acid; and 'wobble' base-pairing, i.e. permitting non-standard base-pairing at the 3rd anti-codon position.
Source: RNAcentral